Triticum dicoccoides is the source of this 1513-nucleotide long non-coding RNA. RefSeq lists it as uncharacterized. The record is from RefSeq and is a predicted model, not a curated record. Lineage: Eukaryota; Viridiplantae; Streptophyta; Magnoliopsida; Poales; Poaceae. The transcript has 5 exons.
UAGCCGUGCUAUGACAUUGUGGGUCCAUACUCCGGCGGCAACGCUUCAGCGAAAAAAAAAACUAUCCUUCGAGACGCUGCACGACGGCAGGGACGCAUAGCUAUGGCGACGGCGGAGGCGACAGGCGAGGGCUUGGAGUUCCUAUCGGAUCCAGUUGACAGGUUUCCUCUACCAGAUCUCGCCGCUGAUGAAUCGCUGCUAAGCGGCGGAGGCAACCAAACUUUCGUAUGCACGGCUACCGAAUCCAGUAUCGGUGAUGUGGGCGAUGCGGCGGUGACAUUGGAACUAUAUUUGCAGAGCGAAUGCAAUGGAGUGGCUCUGUCGGCGCCGAACUCAGAGUAGUUGACGGGCAAAGACGAUCCUCAGGCGCCGGGCUGGACCAAGAGUCUGCUUGUUGGGCAUGCACCUGAAGUCCUGAAGAACGCCCUCCGUGUGCUGGCAGAAUGAGUGCUCUUGAAAAAGCAUUGAGAAGAUAUGCUGAGAAGAAAAAGGACACUGUAAUAGUGCCUGCAGUAGGAAGCACGUCUCAUUCACUUGGAGAAGCUUAUGACUAUUACAAUUUGUAUUCCUGGGAGAUUGGAUUUGGGGUAAGAUAUGGCAAGAGCAGGCUUAAUGUUGAAAGGACAAAAUGCAUGCAAGAGAUAGUAUGUGGCUGCUCGGGGAUUUCGAAGAAAAGCAACACCCGGACUUGCUGGUGCAGGUGCCCCGCGCUCAUACGAUUGCUUCGAUCAAAGGACAAUGGAUGGUACAUAAGUGAGUUCAUAUCAUCACACAACCAUUCGUUAAUGGAGAAGUGUGGCGGGAAGGUGUACUCGUCGUGCUCACAGAUCAAUGCAAGGCGAUGGAAGUAGCAAUAGAGAAAGUGAUGCCACACACGACUCACCGUUGGUGCAAGUGGCACAUGCACUUGGUAAUUUCGUGGGGCUAAAAGCUCCAGAAUGAAAACGAAAGCCUGGUAACCAAUCACCUGCAGGGAUAAACCUCCAUAUGAUGAUCGUGGUGCAAAAAGCAAGAAGUACAGACUGACAGGAAAUGCACAAGCUGGAAAUGGACGCGGGACAAGUAAACGAACUCGCUUCUCCAGUAUAUGUUGAGAACCAGGGCACAAGAGCACCACAUGUCCACAAAGAGGUGAUCUUCCUCAAAAAGAAAGGAAAGCGGCAAAAUGCUCGAACUGUGGCUUCGGUGGUCACAGGAAAAACAUCUGCAGCAAGCCUAGGGUUGUACUCCAUGUUGAAAAUGCUACCUUACAGCCAAAUGCAAUUUGCGGGUGACUUCAUUUAGAUUUAGUGUUUUUGUUCUGUGUUGUAAUAAUAACCGUAAGUGAAGUACGCGUUGUUUGAGGUCAGGUUGUUGUGAUUUGAAUGUUUAUCAUGUAGAAGAAAAAAUGUAUGAGAGUCUGCCUAUUGUUGUAGUGUGCCUGUGCAUCUCCCAUUUUGUAUUUCACUGAGUUCUUGUUUGAGAAAUCAAUCUGGUCUGGUGCAUUGUGUGAGGAGAGAUUCAGUUGAUUUUA